Molecule: long non-coding RNA, 1164 nt
Organism: Raphanus sativus (radish)
Lineage: Eukaryota; Viridiplantae; Streptophyta; Magnoliopsida; Brassicales; Brassicaceae
Exons: 7
Source: RefSeq, a predicted model, not a curated record
GGGAAGUUUUUACUUUUCGAUCAAAUAGUCAAGACUCAAGAGCGUGUUGAUGGAGUGUAUGUCUUCGCCACUUUUUAUGAUGCAAUGUUUUAUCAGCACAUAAGCAUCUUAUUACUCAGAAAUUAGUAGAAGAGUAAGCUUAAAUGAACGCCAAGGGUCAGGCCAGAUAGGAUAAACAUUUGGAUAUGUUAAACCUCCAAGCUAUUUGAAUUCCCCUGAGAGAUUCUUAUAGGUGUUGCCACUAAAGGAGUGACUCAGGUUUUCCUCCAUGAACUCCUCGAAUUACAGUAGUCAAGAUUUUUAGUGUUGUAAACAAGGCUUCAAGGUUAAAUGCCGCUUAAGUUUUAAAAAAAAAUAAGAAAAGAAGCAUUCUUCUCGGAGUUGGGGAAAACAAAGAAAACAGACUCAAGGGUGUGGCAUAGUCUACACAUAUCUCUCAGGCUCUCCCCGAGAUAUGCUUUAAUCUUUGACAGUUCUUAGUUUUUUAAUCAUCCUUAACCUUCAAUGAACGUCUAAGCAAGUUAGUGUUAGUGAGAAAAGACAAUUCUCAUGAGAAGAUUCUUAUAGGUGUCGCCAUUGGAGGAUAUAUAGAUUUCCUCAUUGUUGAGCACUUCACUGAAUUCUACUACAAAGUUUGAAAUCAGAGGAGAAACUAUUGAGUAGAGGAACGAAGAAAAAGCUACAUGCAUGAUGAUGGUGACUAAAUGGACUCUGAAUAGUGUGAUUCUAGCAAAGUACAAGUUGUUCACAUGAAUUCCUUCAAAAACAAGAUAGUAAAAGCAGUUCCAGGAGUUCAAUUUCCAUUGAAUAUAAUCAAAGUUUGUGUGGAAAGAUUUUCAAGAAGUCAAAACAAUCUUUAUUGUUGGAUGAGUUUCAGAAAGCAUUGACGGGCAUAGAAUAAUUUGAUGUGGUUUCAAGUGUAUGGGAAAGUGUCAAGAUGGUCCAGACGUUAGAGGCGUGAACCAGACAGAUGCGGUGAUGACUUGUUCAAUUUUGAACACUUUAUAAGACCUUUGUCGGGGAGUUGGGUUCCAGGAUGUGAAAACUAUUUUCCCAAAUUUCUUUGUGGAAAGAUUUAACAUAGAAGAGCAUUGCUUUGGCAUUUGAAAUAAAUUUAUUACCAAUCACUUUACUGUAAGUCUGUAACGUAUAUAAAUGAUCAAU